UGCCUAACACAUGCAAGUCGAGCGCGAAAGGGGGCUUCGGCCUCUGAGUAGAGCGGCGGACGGGUGAGUAACACGUGGGUAACCUAUCCUCGGGUGGGGAAUAACCUAGGGAAACUUGGGCUAAUACCGCAUCAUAUCCCUGACUCAUAAGAAUUUGGGAUCAAAGCUGGGGACCCUUCGGGGCCUGGCGCCUGAGGCGGGGCUCGCGGCCGAUUAGCUUGUUGGUGAGGUAAUGGCUCACCAAGGCUUCGAUCGGUAGCCGGCCUGAGAGGGCGGACGGUCACACUGGGACUGAGACACGGCCCAGACUCCUACGGGAGGCAGCAGUGGGGAAUUUUUUGUCAAUGGGGGAAACCCUGAACAAGCAACGCCGCGUGGAGGAUGAAGGCCCUCGGGUCGUAAACUCCUGUCGGGAGGGACGAAAGCGGCUGGGAUUAUACUCCCAGUUGUUGACGGUACCUUAGGAGGAAGCCCCGG
This 477-nucleotide ribosomal RNA is filed under the name uncultured bacterium. Its description in RNAcentral is "bacterial SSU rRNA". It matches the Rfam family "Bacterial small subunit ribosomal RNA", at positions 45 to 496 of the family's 1533-position model. The record is from RNAcentral.